Molecule: transfer RNA, 70 nt
Filed under: Phyllopteryx taeniolatus (common seadragon)
Lineage: Eukaryota; Metazoa; Chordata; Actinopteri; Syngnathiformes; Syngnathidae
Also listed under: 1 other name
Description: tRNA-Gln
Rfam family: tRNA
About the family: Transfer RNA (tRNA) molecules are approximately 80 nucleotides in length. Their secondary structure includes four short double-helical elements and three loops (D, anti-codon, and T loops).
Source: RNAcentral
UAGGAAGUGGUGUAGUGGAGGCACCAAGAGUUUUGAUCUCUUUAGUGGGGUUCGAAUCCCUUCUUUCUAA